UGAAUACGAGACGCUACGGCGUUGAAGCAGUCUAUGUCAUACUUCCAAGAAAAGCUCGCAAUGUCAUAAACAAAUAAUGCCUGUACCAUAACCGACACAGGUGGGUAGGUAGAGUAUACUAAGGGGCGCGAGAUAACUCUCUCUAAGGAACUCGGCAAAAUGACUCCGUAACUUCGGGAGAAGGAGUGCCUUAUUUAUAAGGUUGCAAUAACAAGAUCCAAGCAACUGUUUAUCAAAAACACAGGUCUCCGCUAAGUCGUAAGACGAUGUAUGGGGGCUGACGCCUGCCCAGUGCCAGAAGGUUAAAGAAGUUGGUUAGCAUUCGCGAAGCUGAUAACUGAAGCCCUGGUGAACGGCGGCCGUAACUAUAACGGUCCUAAGGUAGCGAAAUUCCUUGUCGGGUAAGUUCCGACCCGCACGAAAGGCGUAAUGAUUUGGAUACUGUCUCGGAGAGGGGCUCGGUGAAAUAGACUUGUCUGUGAAGAUGCGGACUACCUGCACCUGGACAGAAAGACCCUAUGAAGCUUUACUGUAACCUGAAAUUGAAAUUGGACCUUAUUUGCGCAGUAUAGGUGGGAGGCGUUGAGAGUAUUCUUGCGGGAAUAUUGGAGCCAUCAGUGAGAUACCACUCUUGUAAUGUUAGAUUUCUAACUUUGUAUCAUGAUCUGGUCAAAGAACAGUUUCAGGCGGGCAGUUUGACUGGGGCGGUCGCCUCCCAAACGGUAACGGAGGCGUACAAAGGUUUCCUCUGAACGGGUAGAAAUCGUAUCUAGAGUGUAAAGGCAUAAGGAAGCUUGACUGUGAGACCUACAAGUCGAGCAGGGACGAAAGUCGGUCUUAGUGAUCUGACGGUGCUGAGUGGAAAGGCCGUCACUCAACGGAUAAAAGUUACUCUAGGAUAACAGGCUGAUCUCCCCCAAGAGUUCACAUCGACGGGGAGGUUUGGCACCUCGAUGUCGGCUCAUCGCACCCUGGGGCGGUAGUACGUCCCAAGGGUUGGGCUGUUCGCCCAUGAAAGCGGUACGCGAGCUGGGUUCAGAACGUCGUGAGACAGUUCGGUCCAUAUCCGGUGUAGGCGUUAGAAUAUUGAGAGGAGCCUUCUUUAGUACGAGAGGACCGAGAAGGACAUACCUCUGGUGUACCAGUUAUCAUGCCAACGGUAAACGCUGGGUAGCUAUGUAUGGAGAGGAUAACCGCUGAAAGCAUCUAAGUGGGAAGCCCACCUCAAGAUAAGUAUUCUCA
This 1242-nucleotide ribosomal RNA is filed under the name metagenome. RNAcentral describes it as "bacterial LSU rRNA". It matches the Rfam family "Bacterial large subunit ribosomal RNA", at positions 1564 to 2816 of the family's 2925-position model. The record is from RNAcentral.